UGGGUUACUAGCUCAUUUAAUUGUCUUUUCACAGGAUACAUCUCAUGCUCUAAGCAGAAGCAGUUACAAUGGACAGAAUGAAUCCUCUAGCACAAACAGCAGUAGUGCCAAUGUCCAGGGUGGAGCAUUUAUCUCAUUCAACAACACUUCCAGUGGCCAGGGAUUACCUUCAGGAGGAAAGCAGUCUGGUGGAGACGGCUCACAUUCCUCAGACGGCGGCCAAAUAAGCUCUGCUGGGAAACAGUCCAGCCCUAGCCUUUUGGUGCUAUUCAGUGUUUUGAGUGCCUUUGCCACCUCUUCAGUUGUGCCCAAGUGGUUUAUAUGAACAUCUGAAUACGUGACUGGAGACCACGAAGUGUAUUCUGUAAUAACAGAUUAAUUUUUUGUACAAAAUUGUAAUCAAAGUUGAAUAUAUAAUUUGUUGGUUUGUUGUAAUGUCAUUAUGUAUGGCUAAUAUGCCAAGCUUUUGAUUAGUUCUACCUUUUUUAGUUUACAGUAUAUGCCGGUUUAUUUUUCAGUAUUUUAGGCAUCAUUUGAAAAGGAGAUAUUGUGCCCUAACUAUAUGAAUUUUUAUUUCUAACUGACGUGAUGAAUACCUGAUUUGAAUCUGAUCUAGUUGUGAAUCCAACCACUCAGAAGAUAUCUGGAACCACAUGACUAUUAACCCAGGGAAAAAAUAACAGCAGAUUGUCAUGUGUGCAAGCUGAAGGCUCUCACUUGUCAUUACGUAAAAUAAAGCCAAUCCUGUCAUUUUUUUAUAAAAAAGCCUCAAUGGAACAGAAAAGCAGUGUUGGAAUAUUACUCUUAAUCUAUUAUAGUAAUUAAACUAGAGUGAAGUGUAAA
This is a long non-coding RNA of Terrapene triunguis (Three-toed box turtle), 843 nucleotides long. RefSeq lists it as uncharacterized. The record is from RefSeq and is a predicted model, not a curated record. Lineage: Eukaryota; Metazoa; Chordata; Testudines; Emydidae. The transcript is spliced from 6 exons.